CCAAUCAGAGGCUGAAAGGAAGUUACCAGGUUACACCCGUAUGCAAAUGAAGACUUGGCUGGCGGCCAGUCUGAUUAGUUGUGGGAGGGGAACAAUCAGAGGUACUUUCCAUUUUUCCUCUGCCAGGCAGUGCAAAGUGGGGAGUUGCAAAGGGAGUGGCCUCUGAUUGUUUUGUUACUUGGGCAUGGAGGUGUGGGGUUUUCCUUUUGAUUUAGUUCUAGGAAGUCAGCGUGACUCAGCCUUAGGUUCUCUGCCUCACAGGAGCCGGCUCCUGAGUGUCUGUUGUGCCCUGCAGAAGACUCCAGGCUAGACGGGAGUCCCUACGGUCCUGCUGGCCUCUGCUCUCCUCUGGGCCCGCCCCAUGCCUGCACACGAAGGUUCUCAGUCUGUGUGUGUUGAAUACACGAAGGACGGUGCACACCUCCCACCGUGAAACAUUGGGAAAGCAUGCAAGGCAGGGAUGGGCCUUCAGAAGCAAACUGAGGUCUGGAGGCAGCCAGUGCCCGGCUUCUGGCACCUUCCAGUCAUCGUUCCACUUCAACAACCAUUUCCAGAGCUCCUUGGGGGCGCGCAGCCAGCUGAGCUGGUGGGACUGUGAAGAGGUGGCUCGCCCUCCCUCGAGGCAGGGCCUGGCCUGGUUCUGGCUCUUGUCCUCACCUGGACGCUCUGUUUUUGGAAUGAGGGCCACUCCAUGUGCCCUGGACAUUCGGCUGCGAUCCUCUGAGGCACGGAAUGGAUUCUCCUUCCUGCUUCCCAGAACUGAGACUUGGGCGAUGAUGUAAAAGGAGGAGAAGCACCCGGGAAGCCCCGAAUUCCUGACACAGGAAACCUCUGGGGGACAGGGAGGCCGGCCCUGAAACCCUCUUGUCUUUUGAAAUCGUCCACAGCCCCUCAUCAGGGACAAGGAGGAGGAAGCCAGCACCUCCUUUCUGCUCGCCAACCCCCAGCCAGGCCCUGCAGACUCUCCCUCCCAUGUCUAGGCAGUCUGAGAAGAAGCAAUUUGGUGCAUGUGAAUUAUUCAGAGCAGUCAAAGUGAGAGGAAGGACUGAGGCAACCCAUCUAGAAACAGCCAGAAAAGAGAUCCCAGCUCGAAACCACUCAUAAGGUUCAUCUUGAAAACAAAUUAGCGACAGGAUUCUGGAUAACCCUGUGCUCUUCUGCAGGCUUUUCAAUUACUGGCCUGCUGACGUUCACCUCUGGCAACCCCCCUUCAUCACUGACUCCAGAGAGCAAAGGUCCUUUGGACUCGCUCAUGGUCCUGUCCCAGCCACACUUCCGGCCAGCUCAGCGCAGCUCCAGGUCGUUUUUCAACACGUCAGCAGCACGACCGAGAAACGUCUCUGGCUCCGGACCACCCCGCCAGCUCCCGCCGUCAGAGCUCACCCAGAGGAUGGUAUUUCAGCCCCUUCUCAAAGUCAGCAGAAUAUGAUUUUACUGAUUGGAAGCACUGGGCUUGCCGAUUUCCUAUGGUGCCGCAGGGAUCCAGGCAUCUCCAUCUGUGAGCCUCCAGGGUCUCUGCAGAAGAGGAAGGCUCCACCCACACUUCCUUGGCUAGAGUCAGUCAUGCGGCCACAGCCUAGUGCAAGGGAGGCUGGGAGGUGUGGUUUCAGGAUACCAGUGAAGCAGGAAAUGAGAAGAAAAGGGGACCUGUUUCUGACAUUAUUAAAAUAAAAAAUGCAUCUCUGCAUACCUCUCAGGCCACAUCUGGGAAAGGCUGACUUUUCUGAGAGGCCAGCAUGCAGUGCUGGGUGACCUUGAGCAGGUGACUUACCCACUCUGAGCUCAAGUCUUUGCCACACAUAUGGAGAGGCUCACUGGAGUUUUCUAGCUGGGAAGAUUCGACGCACAGCCCACCUAGCACUUGGCCCAGGGCAGAGCCCGCUGCGGCUCGUUCCGCCCCCACCCCCACAAACCGUGUUGCAGACACCAAG
RNAcentral lists this long non-coding RNA (1931 nucleotides) under Homo sapiens (human). RNAcentral's name for it is "HSALNT0156616". Lineage: Eukaryota; Metazoa; Chordata; Mammalia; Primates; Hominidae. The record is from RNAcentral.